Molecule: ribosomal RNA, 514 nt
Filed under: uncultured Alphaproteobacteria bacterium
Lineage: Bacteria; Pseudomonadati; Pseudomonadota; Alphaproteobacteria
Description: bacterial SSU rRNA
Rfam family: Bacterial small subunit ribosomal RNA
Source: RNAcentral
UCCUUCGGGAGGCAGCAGUGGGGAAUUUUGGACAAUGGGGGAAAGCCUGAUCCAGCAAUGCCGCGUGAGUGAUGAAGGCCUUAGGGUUGUAAAGCUUUUUUACUGGGGAUGAUAAUGGCCGUUCCCAGAGAAUAAACUCCGGCUAAAUCCGUGCCAGCAGCCGCGGUAAUACGGAGGGAGCUAGCGUUGUUUGGAAUUUCUGGGCGUAAAGCGCACGUAGGCGGCCUUUUAAGUCAGGGGUGAAAUUCCGGGGCUUAACCCCGGAACUGCCCUUGAAACUGGAAAGUUUGAAUUUCGGAGAGGCGAGUGGAAUUCCGAGUGUAGAGGUGAAAUUUGUAGAUAUUCGGAAGAACCCCAGUGGGGAAGGCGACUCCCUGGACAAGUAUUGACGGUGAGGUGCGAAAGCGUGGGGAGCAAACCGGAUUAGAUUCCCUGGUUGUCCCCCCCGUAAACGAUGAUAACCAGUUGUUCGGGCUCAUAGACCUUAGUGACGCAGCUACGCAUAAGUAUCCGC